Molecule: unclassified non-coding RNA, 375 nt
Filed under: uncultured Gammaproteobacteria bacterium
Lineage: Bacteria; Pseudomonadati; Pseudomonadota; Gammaproteobacteria
Description: contains 16S-23S intergenic spacer region
Source: RNAcentral
UCCGGCUUAUCACCGGCGGUUUCUUUAGAGUCCCCAACUAAAUGCUGGCAACUAAGGACAAGGGUUGCGCUCGUUACGGGACUUAACCCAACAUCUCACAACACGAGCUGACGACAGCCAUGCAGCACCUGUCUCUGCGCUCCUUUCGGCACUCCCAACUCUCAUCGGGAUUCGCAGGAUGUCAAGGGUAGGUAAGGUUCUUCGCGUUGCAUCGAAUUAAACCACAUGCUCCACCGCUUGUGCGGGCCCCCGUCAAUUCAUUUGAGUUUCAACCUUGCGGCCGUACUUCCCAGGUGGAAUACUUAUCGCGUUAGCUUCAAGACUGAUAGGUUCCCCUACCAACCUUUAGUACUCAUCGUUUACAGCGUGGACUAC